Molecule: ribosomal RNA, 502 nt
Filed under: uncultured bacterium
Lineage: Bacteria
Description: partial 16S ribosomal RNA
Rfam family: Bacterial small subunit ribosomal RNA
Source: RNAcentral
AUUGAACGCUGGCGGCAGGCUUAACACAUGCAAGUCGAGCGGGGUGAUGGUGCUUGCACUAUCACUUAGCGGCGGACGGGUGAGUAAUGCUUAGGAAUCUGCCUAUUAGUGGGGGACAACAUCUCGAAAGGGAUGCUAAUACCGCAUACGUCCUACGGGAGAAAGCAGGGGAUCACUUGUGACCUUGCGCUAAUAGAUGAGCCUAAGUCGGGUUAGCUAGUUGGUGGGGUAAAGGCCUACCAAGGCGACGAUCUGUAGCGGGUCUGAGAGGAUGAUCCGCCACGCUGGGACUGAGACACGGCCCAGAGUCCUACGGGAGGCAGCAGUGGGGAAUAUUGGACAAUGGGGGGAACCCUGAUCCAGCCAUGCCGCGUGUGUGAAGAAGGCCUUAUGGUUGUAAAGCACUUUAAGCGAGGAGGAGGCUCUUUUGGUUAAUAACCUUGAGCAGUGACGUUACUCGCAGAAUAAGCACCGGCUAACUCUGUGCCAGCCGCCGCAGUAA